Molecule: long non-coding RNA, 2994 nt
Organism: Achroia grisella
Lineage: Eukaryota; Metazoa; Arthropoda; Insecta; Lepidoptera; Pyralidae
Exons: 4
Source: RefSeq, a predicted model, not a curated record
CAAGUGGAUAGGCAAAGGUACGAGACCAUACAGCCUAAUCUUCAGUAGUAUUUCCAUGAAAUUCAAAAAUUCUUCAAGGCGAUAUCGCCAAAUCUUUUCAUUAAUUAUAAGUUUGUGUUAAGUCCUUGUAAGUGUCCAUAAUUGAAAUGUUUAUAAUUCUCCGAUAGUUGCUAUGAUAAAGUCGUAAAUUGGUUUAAAAGUUGCAGUGCAUUUGAAUAGUUCUUGAAGCGAUGGCGGAAUAAUCUUAUAUAGUUCUUGAAGCUUGGCAAUGAGCAAAAUUCUGUUUAAAUUGAAGGCCGGGCAAUAAAAAAAUAUAUGUUCUAAUGUUUGAUUUUCGUUACUAGAGCAUAAAAGACAAAUCGGAGAAUUAAUGAUCUUCAUUCGGUGUAAAUGUGCAUUGAAUUUACAAUGUCCAAAUCGCAGUCGACAAAUUUGAGUAUAAAAUCUUCUCUCUAAAAAUAUUUUUCCCUGAAUAAACCAGGGUUUUUUGCCAAUAGUACUGUUUAUACCUGCAUACCAAGUACCUUUAUCUUUGGUAGUACGUUUCCAAUCUUCUUCCCAAUUUUUUAAUAAGUUUUUCCUAAUUUCAGGAAUUAAAUCUUGCCAAGGUAAGAAAAUUUUUUUAGACUCGCCACCCAAUCUAUUGACAGUUUUGACAAGGUAAUCUACUUCUUCAUUACCUGUCACACCUUUGUGUGCCGGUAUCCAAGUAAAUAUAAUUUCUUUUCCUUUAUUAAACAAAACAGUCCAUAGUUCUUUAAUUUGGUAAAUAAUAUAGCUUGUUUUGGCACUAAAUGAAUGAUUUUGCAACGCUGAUAAGACUGACAUGCUGUCACUAAUGAUAAGCCACUGAUUAUGAGGUUUAGCGCAUAUGUCUUCGUUAAUAUAAUGCAAAGCUUGCAAAAUAGCCAAGGCUUCGGCAGUGAAUAUACUAGUAAUGAGAAAUCAAGGAGAAUGUAUGGGAAUUUUAUGGAAUUAGAAGAAGAAGCAAUGGUUUGAGAAUCUGUAAUUUUUUGUAACAGUGAAUUAUUGGAAAAGCUAUGUAAUUUUAGCAAGAAUUUAAAUUUAAGAAAUUUGAAUCUUAAUGACAGAGAUGGAAUGUUGCAUUCUACUUGGAGAGAGACUAUUGGAGUUGUUUUCAUUGCACCAGUGAUUAGACGCAAAUUAUUAUUUUGGAUUGUCUCUAAUUUUUUUAAGAGUGUGGGGUUGGAAGCAAAGCAAAGGUAACUGUACUCAAAGUGAGAACGGACUAUGGAUUUGUACAACAUAAGUAAAAUCUUUGGAUCAGCCCCCCAAAAUGUUUUGGAAAGGCAUUUUAAAAUAUUAAAAGCUCUAGAAGCUUUAUCAGAUAUAUUACAGACAUGCUUAUUCCAAGAUAGAUUUUUUGUUAAUGUUACACCAAGAAACUUGGCUUCAGCUACUACAGGCAGUAUGCUACCAUUAUAAUUAAUAUUAGCAUGCAAAGUUCUUGAUCUACUGAAUAUAACAACUUUAGUUUUAUCUAAACUAAUAUCUAAUUGUAAAUAUUUAAAAUAAACAUUUAAUUUCUUUAGAGCUUUGUUUAUUUUAUUUUCUACUAUAUGAAUAUUUGAGCCUGAACAGUAAACUGCUAAAUCAUCAGCAAACUGUAAAUUGCUGACUUCAUUACCAAGAAUAAUAUUAAUUUUAUGAAUAUACAAAAUAAAUAACAGUGGACUCAAUAUUCCCCCUUGACAUACACCUAUAUAUGAAGAUUGUGGACCAUAUAAAUUAUUAUUGUACUUAACAUAGACUUGUCUAUUAUGUAGGAAAUUAAAAAUCCAGUUAAUCAACUUAUCUGGUAUUCCUAGUGUUUGCAGUUCAUUAGUUAGAAUAUGAUGAUUAACAUUGUUAAAAGCACCAACUAUAUCAAAGAAGACAGAAACCAGUAUAUUGUUACUAGAAAAAGCACGAUGAAUAUCUAGGUUUAAAUGAUUUAAGCUCUCUGUAGCUGAAAAACCUUUCCUGAAGCCAAACUGAUUUGAAGAUAACUGAUAGAGGAGUUUGCCGAUUGAUCGACUCACAGAAUUUUAACCAACUGGCAUUUCUUUCGUUUUUGAGAUGUUACAUAAAAGGUGGGUGAUGGUUGGAAGAUGAUAGCUCCCUAAAGGAUUAUCAUGUACAGACCAAUUGCAUCGGAGUGACAGAGAGGCAGAAACAAUUGUAAGAUCCAGAGCACUUGGACUCCAUAUAUCAGAGCCUACAGUAGUGGGUUGACCAUUAUUAAUUAUACAAAGAUCAUUGUCUUCAAUAGUAUUAAGAAGAAUAGUGCCUCUAGAAUCGGUUCUAGAGCAACCCCAAGUGGUAUUGUGGGCGUUAAAGUCACCCGCUAUUAUCAUAGGUGACGGGAUAGAUUUAAAUAAGUUAUCUAAAUGUAAAUGUGUAAAGUUACGUGACGUUGCGGAUGUAGGGCUGUAAAAACUAACAAAAGAAAUUGUUUCAUUUUUCAAAUAUAAUUUUAAAGCGAUAUUUUGCAAAGAAUCAUCGUGAUAUGUAUUUAAUCUGUCAUAAUUCAAUUUGUUUUGUAUUAGAAUGGCUACACCAUUAUGAUUAUUACCAAUGUCUAAUCUUUCUAUAUUGUAACCUUUGAUAUUAAAGUUUUUGAAAGGCUUUAGCCAAGUUUCAGAAAGAAGGGCGAUAUGUAUAUUGUUGUUAUAUAAAAAAUAAGUAAAAGCAAGUCUAUUAUUUAUCAAGCUCUGGGCAUUCCACUCGAUAAUAUUUAAAAUAUUAUCCAUUAAAGAGAUACUAUUAAUUAGUGUUAGUACUGGAAAUCUUAAAAGUAUCUAAAAUUAUGUUUUUUAUGCCUUCUGAGUUUAAGGGAGAGUCAUCUGUUUUAUUAACAGAAAUAAUUUUAAUAACUGAUGCAAUGAUUAGUUUUAAAAAGUCAUCAUUUUGCAAUAAUGUGUUAAUAUUGUCAGUAGGUUUAGUUUUAGUGUUUAAAGAUGGAAAAGAUUUUUCAUUAAAUAAACUAGAGAA